RNAcentral lists this transfer RNA (80 nucleotides) under Lachnospiraceae bacterium. RNAcentral's name for it is "tRNA-Leu". It matches the Rfam family "tRNA". Rfam says of the family: Transfer RNA (tRNA) molecules are approximately 80 nucleotides in length. Their secondary structure includes four short double-helical elements and three loops (D, anti-codon, and T loops). Lineage: Bacteria; Bacillati; Bacillota; Clostridia; Lachnospirales; Lachnospiraceae. RNAcentral also lists the same sequence under 1 other name. The record is from RNAcentral.
GCACCUGUGGUGGAAUUGGCAGACACGCUGGAUUUAGGUUCCAGUCCGCGAGGGUGCAGGUUCAAGUCCUGUCAGGUGCA